RNAcentral lists this unclassified non-coding RNA (378 nucleotides) under uncultured Pseudomonadota bacterium. RNAcentral's name for it is "uncultured proteobacterium contains 16S-23S intergenic spacer region". Lineage: Bacteria; Pseudomonadati; Pseudomonadota. The record is from RNAcentral.
UCCGGUUUGUCACCGGCAGUCUCGUUAAAGUGCCCAACUAAAUGAUGGCAACUAGGGACAAGGGUUGCGCUCGUUGCGGGACUUAACCCAACAUCUCACGACACGAGCUGACGACAGCCAUGCAGCACCUGUCUCCAGGUUCCCGAAGGCACCCCCACAUCUCUGCGGGGUUCCUGGGAUGUCGAGACCAGGUAAGGUUCUUCGCGUUGCAUCGAAUUAAACCACAUGCUCCACUGCUUGUGCGCGCCCCCGUCAAUUCCGUUUGAGUUUUAAUCUUGCGACCGUACUCCCCAGGCGGAGUGCUUAACGCGUUAGCUUUGGCACUGCAGGGGUCAAUACCCGCAACACCUAGCACUCAUCGUUUACGGCGUGGACUAC